This 468-nucleotide ribosomal RNA is filed under the name uncultured bacterium. RNAcentral describes it as "SSU rRNA". It matches the Rfam family "Bacterial small subunit ribosomal RNA", at positions 26 to 518 of the family's 1533-position model. The record is from RNAcentral.
AGCCUGAACGCUGGCGGCGUGGUUAAGACAUGCAAGUCGCACGGUGCGUAGCAAUACGCAUAGUGGCGAACGGGUGAGUAAUGAAUCGCUAAUGUACCCCGGACUCUGGGAUAGCUGCCCGAAAGGGCAGGUAAUACCAGAUGACAUACCUUGCCGGCAUCGGUGAGGUCUCAAAGGUCCGCCGGUCUGGGCGCAGGCGAUUUCGUAUCAGCUAGUUGGUGCGGGUAACGGCCCACCAAGGCGACGACGCGUAGCCGGACUGAGAGGUUGGCCGGCCACAUCGGGACUGAGACACUGCCCGGACUCCUACGGGGGGCUGCAGUAACGAAUCUUCCCCAAUGCACGCAAGUGUGAGGGAGCGACGCCGCGUGUGGGACGAAGUCCUUCGGGAUGUAAACCACUGUCAGGGGAUACCAAGUUCUGAGGAUCCCCAGAGGAAGAGGCGGCUAACUCUGCGCCAGCAGCCGC